This 477-nucleotide small RNA is filed under the name Arabidopsis thaliana (thale cress). RNAcentral's name for it is "ATSL219360". The record is from RNAcentral. Lineage: Eukaryota; Viridiplantae; Streptophyta; Magnoliopsida; Brassicales; Brassicaceae.
UGAUAUAGGAAACUAGGCAUUGAUAUAUGGUUAGAUACGUGGAAUACAUGAGUGGAGACAGUAGCUGUGAGACGUGGCAAGAGAAGAUUGGUCGAUGGGAGUGUUAGAGGAAGAAUCGAGAUGCAGAGAUAUAUAGCUAAUGAAGAUCAUUUGCAGAAGAUAAGAAGAUUUUGGAUUUGUUGUUUAUAGUUUCCUUUUGGAUUCUCUCUGAGAAUCGUUCCUCAUCGUUCGCCGGAGUUUCAUGUUGAACUCUUGUAGAUGAGAAGUUGAUAUCGCGUUUCAUGAACGUUGUAUCAAUCUGUCAUUUUCAUUAAUCGAAGCAUUCUAUUUCGUUACUCUGUUUUCCGUUAUCACUGGUAUCAGAGCCAAUCGUGUCCUCGGUGGAGAUCAAAGCUACUUGCACGAUGAAGAGUCGUCGGCGCAUAUCGUGGGAAGAGAUAAACGAGAGCUGGUUGAAUGGCUUAUGUGUGUUUUGCA